GGGGUUCGAUUAAGCCAUGCGAGUCGAGAGGUGAAAGACCUCGGCGUACUGCUCAGUAACACGUGGACAACCUACCCUAAGGUGGGGGAUAACCCCGAGAAACUGGGGAUAAUACCCCAUAGGCUAGAGAAGCUGGAAUGCUCUCAAGUUCAAAGGUCCGCCGCCUUAGGAUGGGUCUGCGGUCGAUUAGGUUGUUGGUGGGGUAACGGCCCAACAAGCCUGUAAUCGAUACGGGUUGUGGGAGCAAGAGCCCGGAGAUGGAAUCUGAGACACGAUUCCAGGCCCUACGGGGCGCAGCAGGCGCGAAAACUUUACAAUGCAGGAAACUGUGAUAAGGGAACCCCGAGUGCCCGUAUACGCGGGCUGUCCAGGUGUUUAAAACGCAUCUGAAGAAAGGGCCGGGCAAGACCGGUGCCAGCCGCCGCGGUAAUACCGGCGGCUCGAGUGGUGGCCACUAUUAUUGGGCUUAAAGCGUCCGUAGCUGGACUGAUAAGUCUCUUGGGAAAUCCGCCGGCUUAACCGGCGGGCGU
Molecule: ribosomal RNA, 530 nt
Filed under: uncultured archaeon
Lineage: Archaea
Description: bacterial SSU rRNA
Rfam family: Archaeal small subunit ribosomal RNA
Source: RNAcentral